ACUCUCGCCCAAGCACGCUUAACUUCGGAGUUCUGAUGGGAUCCGGUGCUUUAGUGCUGGUAUGAUCGCAUCCGACAUACCGUGCGUUCUCCUCCCCUUUAUGCCCGCGCCUCCGUGUACGGUCCGCCCAUAGCUCCUUCGACGGCGCCGCCUAGGAACGCGGAGAAAAUAUGACAAAGGAACGGCCAAAAAUAAAAAGAAAGUCCUUUCUUUUGAAAAAACAAACAAAAAAAAGGUAUGCAACACGAGGACUUCCUAGGAGGUCACCCAUCCUAGUACUACUCUCGCCCAAGCACGCUUAACUUCGGAGUUCUGAUGGGAUCCGGUGCUUUAGUGCUGGUAUGAUCGCAUCCGACAUACCGUGCGUUCUCCUCCCCUUUAUGCCCGCGCCUCCGUGUACGGCCCGCCCAUAGCUCCUUCGACGGCGCCGCCUAGGAACGCGGAGAAAAUAUGACAAAGGAACGGCCAAAAAUAAAAAGAAAGACCUUUCUUUUGAAAAAACAAACAAAAAAAAGGAAUGCAACACGAGGACUUCCCAGGAGGUCACCCAUCCUAGUACUACUCUCGCCCAAGCACGCUUAACUUCGGAGUUCUGAUGGGAUCCGGUGCUUUAGUGCUGGUAUGAUCGCAUCCGACAUACCGUGCGUUCUCCUCCCCUUUAUGCCCGCGCCUCCGUGUACGGCCCGCCCAUAGCUCCUUCGACGGCGCCGCCUAGGAACGCGGAGAAAAUAUGACAAAGGAACGGCCAAAAAUAAAAAGAAAGACCUUUCUUUGAAAAAACAAAGAAAUAAAAGGAAUGCAACACGAGGACUUCCCAGGAGGUCACCCAUCCUAGUACUACUCUCGCCCAAGCACGCUUAACUUCGGAGUUCUGAUGGGAUCCGGUGCUUUAGUGCUGGUAUGAUCGCAUUCGACAUACCGUGCGUUCUCCUCCCCUUUAUGCCCGCGCCUCCGUGUACGGCCCGCCCAUAGCUCCUUCGACGGCGCCGCCUAGGAACGCGGAGAAAAUAUGACAAAGGAACGGCCAAAAAUAAAAAGAAAGACCUUUCUUUUGAAAAAACAAACAAAUAAAAGGAAUGCAACACGAGGACUUCCCAGGAGGUCACCCAUCCUAGUACUACUCUCGCCCAAGCACGCUUAACUUCGGAGUUCUGAUGGGAUCCGGUGCUUUAGUGCUGGUAUGAUCGCAUCCGACAUACCGUGCGUUCUCCUCCCCUUUAUGCCCGCGCCUCCGUGUACGGCCCGCCCAUAGCUCCUUCGACGGCGCCGCCUAGGAACGCGGAGAAAAUAUGACAAAGGAACGGCCAAAAAUAAAAAGAAAGACCUUUCUUUUGAAAAAACAAACGCCUCCGUGUACGGCCCGCCCAUAGCUCCUUCGACGGCGCCGCCUAGGAACGCGGAGAAAAUAUGACAAAGGAACGGCCAAAAAUAAAAAGAAAGACCUUUCUUUUGAAAAAACAAACAAAAAAAAGGAAUGCAACACGAGGACUUCCCAGGAGGUCACCCAUCCUAUUACUACUCUCGCCCAAGCACGCUUAACUUCGGAGUUCUGAUGGGAUCCGGUGCUUUAGUGCUGGUAUGAUCGCAUCCGACAUACCGUGCGUUCUCCUCCCCUUUAUGCCCGCGCCUCCGUGUACGGCCCGCCCAUAGCUCCUUCGACGGCGCCGCCUAGGAACGCGGAGAAAAUAUGACAAAGGAACGGCCAAAAAUAAAAAGAAAGACCUUUCUUUUGAAAAAACAAACAAAAAAAAGGAAUGCAACACGAGGACUUCCCAGGAGGUCACCCAUCCUAGUACUACUCUCGCCCAAGCACGCUUAACUUCGGAGUUCUGAUGGGAUCCGGUGCUUUAGUGCUGGUAUGAUCGCAUCCGACAUACCGUGCGUUCUCCUCCCCUUUAUGCCCGCGCCUCCGUGUACGGCCCGCCCAUAGCUCCUUCGACGGCGCCGCCUAGGAACGCGGAGAAAAUAUGACAAAGGAACGGCCAAAAAUAAAAAGAAAGACCUUUCUUUUGAAAAAACAAACAAAAAAAAGGAAUGCAACACGAGGACUUCCCAGGAGGUCACCCAUCCUAGUACUACUCUCGCCCAAGCACGCUUAACUUCGGAGUUCUGAUGGGAUCCGGUGCUUUAGUGCUGGUAUGAUCGCAUCCGACAUACCGUGCGUUCUCCUCCCCUUUAUGCCCGCGCCUCCGUGUACGGCCCGCCCAUAGCUCCUUCGACGGCGCCGCCUAGGAACGCGGAGAAAAUAUGACAAAGGAACGGCCAAAAAUAAAAAGAAAGACCUUUCUUUUGAAAAAACAAACAAAUAAAAGGAAUGCAACACGAGGACUUCCCAGGAGGUCACCCAUCCUAGUACUACUCUCGCCCAAGCACGCUUAACUUCGGAGUUCUGAUGGGAUCCGGUGCUUUAGUGCUGGUAUGAUCGCAUCCGACAUACCGUGCGUUCUCCUCCCCUUUAUGCCCGCGCCUCCGUGUACGGCCCGCCCAUAGCUCCUUCGACGGCGCCGCCUAGGAACGCGGAGAAAAUAUGACAAAGGAACGGCCAAAAAUAAAAAGAAAGACCUUUCUUUUGAAAAAACAAACAAAUAAAAGGAAUGCAACACGAGGACUUCCCAGGAGGUCACCCAUACUAGUACUACUCUCGCCCAAGCACGCUUAACUUCGGAGUUCUAAUGGGAUCCGGUGCUUUAGUGCUGGUAUGAUCGCAUCCGACAUACCGUGCGUUCUCCUCCCCUUUAUGCCCGCGCCUCCGUGUACGGCCCGCCCAUAGCUCCUUCGACGGCGCCGCCUAGGAACGCGGAGAAAAUAUGACAAAGGAACGGCCAACAAUAANNNNNNNNNNNNNNNNNNNNNNNNNNNNNNNNNNNNNNNNNNNNNNNNNNNNNNNNNNNNNNNNNNNNNNNNNNNNNNNNNNNNNNNNNNNNNNNNNNNNGUCACCCAUCCCAGUACUACUCUCGCCCAAGGCACGCUUAACUUCGGAGUUCUGAUGGGAUCCGGUGCUUUAGUGCUGGUAUGAUCGCAUCCGACAUACCGUGCGUUCUCCUCCCCUUUAUGCCCGCGCCUCCGUGUACGGCCCGCCCAUAGCUCGUUCGACGCCGCCGCCUAGGAACCCGGAGAAAAUAUGACAAAGGAACGGCCAAAAAUCCAAAGAAAGAUCUUUCUUUUGAAAAAACCACCAUAAAAGGAAUGCAACACGAGGACUUCCCAGGAGGUCACCCAUCCUAGUACUACUCUCGCCCAAGCACGCUUAACUUCGGAGUUCUGAUGGGAUCCAGUGCUUUAGUGCUGGUAUGAUCGCAUCCGACAUACCGUGCGUUCUCCUCCCCUUUAUGCCCGCGCCUCCGUGUACGGCCCGCCCAUAGCUCGUUCGACGGCGCCGCCUAGGAACGCGGAGAAAAUAUGACAAAAGAACGGCCAAAAAUAAAAAGAAAGACCUUUCUUUUGAAAAAAGAAACAAAAAAAGGAAUGCAACACGAGGACUUCCCAAGAGGUCACCCAUCCUAGUGCUACUCUCGCCCAAGCACGCUUAACUUCGGAGUUCUGAUGGGAUCCGGUGCUUCAGUGCUGGUAUGAUCGCAUCCGAUAUACCGUGCGUUCUCCUCCCCUUUAUGCCCGCGCCUCCGUGUACGGCCCGCCCAUAGCUCGUUCGACGGCGCCGCCUAGGAACGCGGAGAAACUAUGACAAAGGAACGGCCAAAAAUAAAAAGAAAUACCUUUCUUUUGAAAAAACAAACAAAAAAAGGAAUGCAACACGAGAACUUUCCACGAGGUCACCCAUCCUAGUACUACUCUCGUCCAAACACGCUUAACUUCAGAGUUCUAAUGGGAUCCGGUGCUUUAGUGCUGGUAUGAUCGCAUCCGACAUACCGUGCGUUCUCCUCCCCUUUAUGCCCGCGCCUCCGUGUACGGCCCGCCCAUAGCUCCUUCGACGGCGCCGCCUAGGAACGCGGAGAAAAUAUGACAAAGGAACGGCCAAAAAUAAAAAGAAAGACCUUUCUUUUGAAAAAACAAACAAAAAAAGGAAUGCAACACGAGGACUUCCCAGGAGGUCACCCAUCCUAGUACUACUCUCGCCCAAGCACGCUUAACUUCAAAGUUCUGAUGGGAUCCGGUGCUUUAGUGCUGGUAUGAUCGCAUCCGACAUACCGUGCGUUCUCCUCCCCUUUAUGCCCGCGCCUCCGUGUACGGCCCGCCCAUAGCUCCUUCGACGGCGCCGCCUAGGAACGCGGAGAAAAUAUGACAAAGGAACGGCCAAAAAUAAAAAGAAAGACCUUUCUUUUGAAAAAACAAACAAAAAAAGGAAUGCAACACGAGGACUUCCCAGGAGGUCACCCAUCCUAGUACUACUGUCGCCCAAGCACGCUUAAGUUCGGAGUUCUGAUGGGAUCCGGUGCUUUAGUGCUGGUAUGAUCGCAUCCGACAUGCCGUGCGUUCUCCUCCCCUUUAUGCCCGCGCCUCCGUGUACGGCCCGCCCAUAGCUCCUUCGUCGGCGCCGCCUAGGAACGCGGAGAAAAUAUGACAAAGGAACGGCCAAAAAUAAAAAGAAAGACCUUUCUUUUGAAAAAACAAACGCCUCCGUGUACGGCCCGCCCAUAGCUCCUUCGACGGCGCCGCCUAGGAACGCGGAGAAAAUAUGACAAAGGAACGGCCAAAAAUAAAAAGAAAGACCUUUCUUUUGAAAAAACAAACAAAAAAAAGGAAUGCAACACGAGGACUUCCCAGGAGGUCACCCAUCCUAGUACUACUCUCGCCCAAGCACGCUUAACUUCGGAGUUCUGAUGGGAUCCGGUGCUUUAGUGCUGGUAUGAUCGCAUCCGACAUACCGUGCGUUCUCCUCCCCUUUAUGCCCGCCCCUCCGUGUACGGCCCGCCCAUAGCUCUUUCGACGGCGCCGCCUAGGAACGCGGAGAAAAUAUGACAAAGGAACGGCCAAAAAUAAAAAGAAAGACCUUUCUUUUGAAAAAACAAACGCCUCCGUGUACGGCCCGCCCAUAGCUCCUUCGACGGCGCCGCCUAGGAACGCGGAGAAAAUAUGACAAAGGAACGGCCAAAAAUAAAAAGAAAGACCUUUCUUUUGAAAAAACAAACAAAAAAAAGGAAUGCAACACGAGGACUUCCCAGGAGGUCACCCAUCCUAGUACUACUCUCGCCCAAGCACGCUUAACUUCGGAGUUCUGAUGGGAUCCGGUGCUUUAGUGCUGGUAUGAUCGCAUCCGACAUACCGUGCGUUCUCCUCCCCUUUAUGCCCGCGCCUCCGUGUACGGCCCGCCCAUAGCUCCUUCGACGGCGCCGCCUAGGAACGCGGAGAAAAUAUGACAAAGGAACGGCCAAAAAUAAAAAGAAAGACCUUUCUUUUGAAAAAACAAACAAAAAAAAGGAAUGCAACACGAGGACUUCCCAGGAGGUCACCCAUCCUAGUACUACUCUCGCCCAAGCACGCUUAACUUCGGAGUUCUGAUGGGAUCCGGUGCUUUAGUGCUGGUAUGAUCGCAUCCGACAUACCGUGCGUUCUCCUCCCCUUUAUGCCCGCGCCUCCGUGUACGGCCCGCCCAUAGCUCCUUCGACGGCGCCGCCUAGGAACGCGGAGAAAAUAUGACAAAGGAACGGGCAAAAAUAAAAAGAAAGACCUUUCUUUUGAAAAAACAAACAAAAAAAAGGAAUGCAACACGAGGACUUCCCAGGAGGUCACCCAUCCUAGUACUACUCUCGCCCAAGCACGCUUAACUUCGGAGUUCUGAUGGGAUCCGGUGCUUUAGUGCUGGUAUGAUCGCAUCCGACAUACCGUGCGUUCUCCUCCCCUUUAUGCCCGCGCCUCCGUGUACGGGCCGUCCAUAGCUCCUUCGACGGCGCCGCCUAUGAACGCGGAGAAAAUAUGACAAAGGAACGGCCAACAAUCAUACGAAAGACCUUUCUUUUGAAAAAACAAACAAAAAAAAGGAAUGCGACACGAGGACUUCCCAGGAGGUCACCCAUCCUAGUACUACUCUCGCCCAAGCACGCUUAACUUCGGAGUUCUGAUGGGAUCCGGUGCUUUAGUGCUAGUAUGAUCGCAUUCGACAUACCGUGCGUUCUCCUCCCCUUUAUGCCCGCGCCUCCGUGUACGGCCCGCCCAUAGCUCCUUCGACGGCGCCGCCUAGGAACGCGGAGAAAAUAUGACAAAGGAACGGCCAAAAAUAA
RNAcentral lists this long non-coding RNA (6176 nucleotides) under Sorghum bicolor (sorghum). RNAcentral's name for it is "long non-coding RNA (SBIC_LNC015499)". The record is from RNAcentral. Lineage: Eukaryota; Viridiplantae; Streptophyta; Magnoliopsida; Poales; Poaceae.